Molecule: microRNA precursor, 103 nt
Filed under: Marmota monax (woodchuck)
Lineage: Eukaryota; Metazoa; Chordata; Mammalia; Rodentia; Sciuridae
Source: RNAcentral
AGAGGGAUAGCUGGGUCAAAUGGUGAUUCCAUUUCCAGUUUUCCAAGGAAUCUCCAUACUGCUUUCUAAAUUGGCUGCACCAAUUUUCAGUCCCACCAGCAGU